This 253-nucleotide ribosomal RNA is filed under the name uncultured bacterium. RNAcentral's name for it is "partial 16S ribosomal RNA". It matches the Rfam family "Bacterial small subunit ribosomal RNA", at positions 524 to 776 of the family's 1533-position model. The record is from RNAcentral.
UACGGGGGGGGCGAGCGUUGUUCGGAAUUACUGGGCGUAAAGGGCGCGUAGGCGGUCCGCUAAGUUGAAUGUGAAAACUCUGGGCCUAACCCAGAGCCUGCAUUCAAUACUGACGGGCUCGAGUUCUGGAGGGGAUAGCGGAAUUCCUGGUGUAGCGGUGAAAUGCGUAGAUAUCAGGAGGAACACCGGUGGCGAAGGCGGCUAUCUGGACAGAGUCUGACGCUGAGGCGCGAAAGCUAGGGGAGCAAACAGG